GUUCCUACGGGAGGCAGCAGUGGGGAAUAUUGCACAAUGGGGGAAACCCUGAUGCAGCGACGCCGCGUGAGUGAAGAAGUAUUUCGGUAUGUAAAGCUUUAUCAGCAGGGAAGAAAAAAGACGGUACCUGACUAAGAAGCCCCGGCUAACUACGUGACAGCAGCCGCGGUAAUACGUAGGGGGCAAGCGUUAUCCGGAUUUACUGGGUGUAAAGGGAGCGUAGACGGCGCGGCAAGUCUGAAGUGAGAGGCAGGGG
This 256-nucleotide ribosomal RNA is filed under the name uncultured bacterium. RNAcentral describes it as "partial 16S ribosomal RNA". It matches the Rfam family "Bacterial small subunit ribosomal RNA", at positions 335 to 607 of the family's 1533-position model. The record is from RNAcentral.